CCUACGCAACGUUCAUCGGCGUAGGUGAGUCGGCCCUAAGGCGAGGCAGAAUGCGUAGUCGAUGGGAAACGAGGUUAAUAUUCCUGUACCGAUUUGGAAUGCGAUGGGGGACGGAGAAGGGUAGGUCAGCCAACUGUUGGGAAUAGUUGGUUUAAGCGUGUAGGCGUGUUCUGUAGGCAAAUCCGCAGAAAUUAGCUGAGGCGUGAUGACGAGGUGCCACGUGCACUGAAGUGAUUGAUCCCAUGCUUCCAGGAAAAGCCUCUAAGCUUCAGUUCCAAAUUGACCGUACUGCAAACCGACACAGGUGGGUAGGGUGAGAAUCCUAAGGCGCUUGAGAGAACUCAGGAGAAGGAACUCGGCAAAUUGACACCGUAACUUCGGGACGAAGGUGUGCCCUUGUAGGGUGAAGUCCCUUGCGGAUGGAGCUCGAAAGGGUUGCAGUGAAAAGGUGGCUGCGACUGUUUAUUAAAAACACAGCACUCUGCAAACACGAAAGUGGACGUAUAGGGUGUGACGCCUGC
Molecule: ribosomal RNA, 521 nt
Filed under: uncultured bacterium
Lineage: Bacteria
Description: bacterial LSU rRNA
Rfam family: Bacterial large subunit ribosomal RNA
Source: RNAcentral